This is a non-coding RNA of Chrysemys picta bellii (western painted turtle), 267 nucleotides long. Lineage: Eukaryota; Metazoa; Chordata; Testudines; Emydidae. The record is from RefSeq and is a predicted model, not a curated record.
CUUUUAAAGGAACGAGGUAGGAUACCCUAUUGCCUCUGGUACAGCGCGAUUUCCAGGGACUUCCCCUCUCUCCGAGCAAGGGGAGGGAGCCCACGGCUCCAAAAGGAAGAUCUGCAAGCUUCAAAAGGAAGAUCUGGGACUACAGAAUAACGUCCACGUUUCGCUCCAGAUCAUCCCGUCCUCCCAGGGGAAAGAAAAUGGCUGCAAUGGAGCUGGCUCAGGGGCCGGUGACUUUCGAGGAGGUGGCUGUGUAUUUCACCAGGGAAG